Molecule: small nuclear RNA, 18 nt
Filed under: Arabidopsis thaliana (thale cress)
Lineage: Eukaryota; Viridiplantae; Streptophyta; Magnoliopsida; Brassicales; Brassicaceae
Description: snRNA_04231
Source: RNAcentral
CUGACAGAUAGAGCAGUG